AGCUUUGCAGUGGUAAUAUCAUAGCCAAUGAAGGUUUACUGAGGCGUGAUUAUUGCUAUUUGAAAACUUUACCCAAUACCCGUUAAGUCUGUUUUAUGACAGACUUGACAAUUUUUUACUGUCUCUGAGGAGA
This is a small nuclear RNA of Protopterus annectens (West African lungfish), 133 nucleotides long. RefSeq annotates it as U4 spliceosomal RNA. The record is from RefSeq and is a predicted model, not a curated record. Lineage: Eukaryota; Metazoa; Chordata; Ceratodontiformes; Protopteridae. The transcript has a single exon.